CUUGUUCUUUAAUUGAGGACUAGUAUGAACGGCACCACGAAGGUUAUACUGUCUCCUCUCUCUAAUCAGUGAAACUAAUUUCCCCGUGAAGAAGCAGGGAUAAAUUUAUAAGACGAGAAGACCCUAUGGAGCUUUAAACAUAACAACAACUGCCCCGCUCCAAUUUAUAUUUCCCGAAAAAUUAUUUACCCGAGCAUUCUGAUUGUGCGUUUUAGGUUGGGGUGAUCGCGGAGCAAAAAAUAACCUCCACACUGGAAGGGACCUUCCCUAAGCCCCGGGCCACAACCCCAAGAAUCAACAAAUUGACACCCGUUGACCCAAUAUUUUGACCAAUGAACCAAGUUACCCUAGGGAUAACAGCGCAAUCCACUUUAAGAGCUCCUAUCGACAAGUGGGUUUACGACCUCGAUGUUGGAUCAGGGUUUCCUAGUGGUGUAGCCGCUGCUGAAGGCUCGUUUGUUCAACGAUUAAAACCCUACGUGAUC
Molecule: ribosomal RNA, 485 nt
Filed under: Leptodactylus discodactylus (Vanzolini's Amazon frog)
Lineage: Eukaryota; Metazoa; Chordata; Amphibia; Anura; Leptodactylidae
Description: partial large subunit ribosomal RNA
Rfam family: Bacterial large subunit ribosomal RNA
Source: RNAcentral